This 460-nucleotide ribosomal RNA is filed under the name uncultured bacterium. RNAcentral describes it as "partial 16S ribosomal RNA". It matches the Rfam family "Bacterial small subunit ribosomal RNA", at positions 338 to 795 of the family's 1533-position model. The record is from RNAcentral.
CCUACGGGAUGCAGCAGUGAGGAAUAUUGGUCAAUGGACGAGAGUCUGAACCAGCCAAGUAGCGUGAAGGAUGACUGCCCUAUGGGUUGUAAACUUCUUUUAUAUGGGAAUAAAACGUUCCACGUGUGGGAUUUUGUCUGUACCAUAUAAAUAAGGAUCGCCUAACUCCGUGCCAGCAGCCGCGGUAAUACGGAGGAUCCGAGCGUUAUCCGGAUUUAUUGGGGUUAACGGGAGCGUAGGUGGAUUGUUAAGUCAGGUGUGAAAGUUUGCGGCUCAACCGUAAAAUUGCAGUUGAAACUGGCAGUCUUGAGUACAGUAGAGGUGAGCGGAAUUCGUGGUGUAGCGGUGAAAUGCUUAGAUAUCACGAAGAACUCCGAUGGCGAAGGCAGUUCACUGGACUGCAACUGACACUGAGGCUCGAAAGUGUGGGUAUCAAACAGGAUUAGAUACCCUGGUAGUC